GCAUGAUUGGGACAAAUUAAAGAACAUGCUAUCCUUUCAGCUGAAGCAGCUCUUCAUGGUUUUACCGAAGGUCCUCCAUUUACCCUUCAGAGGCUUUAUGAGGUGAUCACUUCAACUUUAUACUAGGCUAUUGAAUCAGAAAGCCAAGAAUUGGAGCUCGAUCUUUCAAGUUUGGGUGCUGUAAAUACCAUGUUUGCUGAUUAGAGCAGGAUCUAUCAGAACAAAUGGGUAUGUGUACUAAUUAGAGCUUCAAAACUAUGGUUAGCAUAUGAUAACUAUGACUCAACAUGAGUGCUCAUUGCAAGUCUGAACAUUUACUGGGUUAACUACUCUUCAUUAGUUCUCUGCUCUCUAAUAAUAUAUAUAACAUAUAUAUGUAUUUUGUAUAUAUAUAUAUAUAUGUAGUAUAAUAUAGGUGUUUUGUGUUUGCGUAUAUAUAAGCUUAGGACCAAAAUAGUAUAAAUUUCUUUUAUACUUGGAAGAAAUUUGGUUUAUUGUUGCUUCAUGUUUUAUAUAGCAUCAGUUUUGUAUUACCUUAGACAGAGAACUAUCUAUUACUAUUGGUUGAGAUUCU
Molecule: long non-coding RNA, 574 nt
Filed under: Rosa chinensis
Lineage: Eukaryota; Viridiplantae; Streptophyta; Magnoliopsida; Rosales; Rosaceae
Description: sRNA RchiOBHm_Chr4g0446571
Source: RNAcentral